RNAcentral lists this ribosomal RNA (423 nucleotides) under uncultured bacterium. Its description in RNAcentral is "bacterial SSU rRNA". It matches the Rfam family "Bacterial small subunit ribosomal RNA", at positions 358 to 773 of the family's 1533-position model. The record is from RNAcentral.
GGAAUUUUGGACAAUGGGCGCAAGCCUGAUCCAGCCAUGCCGCGUGAGUGAAGAAGGCCUUCGGGUUGUAAAGCUCUUUCAGUCGGGAAGAAAAGGUUGCGACUAAUAAUCGCGAUCAAUGAUGGUACCGACAGAAGAAGCACCGGCUAACUACGUGCCAGCCGCCGCGGUAAUACGAAGGGUGCGAGCGUUAAUCGGAAUGACUGGGCGUAAAGGGUGCGCAGGCGGUUUUGUAAGGCAGAUGUGAAAUCCCCGGGCUUAACCUGGGAACUGCGUUUGAAACUACAAGACUAGAGUGUAGCAGAGGGGGGUGGAAUUCCAUGUGUAGCAGUGAAAUGCGUAGAGAUAUGGAAGAACACCGAUGGCGAAGGCAGCCCCCUGGGCUAACACUGACGCUCAGGCACGAAAGCGUGGGGAGCAAAC